RNAcentral lists this long non-coding RNA (4513 nucleotides) under Daucus carota (carrot). RNAcentral describes it as "long non-coding RNA (DCAR_LNC000656)". Lineage: Eukaryota; Viridiplantae; Streptophyta; Magnoliopsida; Apiales; Apiaceae. The record is from RNAcentral.
UGAUAGUUUUCUCAUACCAUAAGAAUCAGGCCUGCUGCAGCACUUUGUAUCAUGAACUUUGAGCACCUCUUUGGCCAUCUCAGACGACGAGACGAUCAGAGCAGGGACUUGGCCUAGUCUUAGGUGCAUGACAGGCCCGUAUUGUUGGGACAGUCUGUACAGAGAAACAUGAGGCAGUCUUCCAAGUUGGUGAAGGUUGCCUAAUAUGGGGAGCCUCGGAGGACCUGGGGGCAGAUUUUCUAGAAUUUGUUUCGAAAAAUAUCCAUGACACAAUGGAAGGAGAAACAGGAGGAGGAGAAAGGCAGUGGUAGUUAAAAGCCAGAAGAAUGAGACAGAGCUAAGAAAUUCAGAGAUCAUUUCCAUGAGUGCUACUGAGGGGCAAGAUAAGGUGUGAUAUCCUUAUAAAACCAGAUUGUGAUGUAGACUUAGUGGUUUAUUUUGAAACUAAGGCCCAAAGAAAUGUCAAAUACGUUGAAUGAGGAUCAAGUGAGUGCACUCUUAGUCAAUACUCUCGCUCUGGCUCUCAUGUUCCUUACGUUUCUUGAUUGACUCAACCUAAUCUGGAGAGGGUAAGUAUGUAAAUAGUCAGUUAAAUUAUUUUUUAGCUACUUAAUGAAACUAUUAGGCAUUAAUGAAAUUUGAGUUUUCGUUUAACACAGAUCGUAAAAAUACAAGUAAAAGCUACAAUGAACUGGCAAAAGCACAGUUGCUCACUUAACUCUAUAAUCGAAAGAAGAGGGGCUAAGGCCAAUACUGGAUUGCGCGGUUUAAUUUAUACGUCUGACAGGUAGCAGCUGAAGUGGGAAUUUUUUGUUAAUAGUCAAGCCAACCACUUCUUCCAUGUUAAUGUCUUCAGGUUUCAUCCCUCUAGGCAACUGCCAGUCGAAACAAUGCAACAUAUUUGCAAGUAUUGAUUCCACCGAAGUUAAGCCCGUUGUCAUUCCAGGACAAAUUCGUCGACCAGCACCAAAUGGAAUCAGCUCGUAAUGCUGACCCUUGAAAUCAAUCUCACUGUCCUCAAACCUCUCUGGAUAAAAUUCUUCCGGAUUCAACCAUGUAUUACUGUCUCUGCCAAUCGCCCAUGCAUUGAUAAAAAUCCUGGUUUUGGGGUACACACUGUAGCCCCCAAUCUUACAGUAUUGCAUUGAUUCUCGCGGUAAGAGUAGCGGUGCUGCAGGGUGCAGCCUCAGAGUCUCCUUCACUACCAUCUUCAAGUACUUGAGCUUCUCUAUUUCACUCUCUUCUACUUGAUUUUUAUUUCCUAUUACUUUUCUGAUUUCAGUUUGCACCUUUGACAUUACUCGCGGGUUCUUGGCCAGUUCGCUCAUUGCCCAUACAGUUGUCCCAGAGGUAGUGUCUAUUGAAGCCAGAAAUAAAUCCUGAAAACACCAGAAACACAUGAACCUCAUAGAAGCGCGUAAAGGAAAGAAGCACGUAGGGUAUAGUAUAAUAUACAAACUAAAUUACCAUGAAGACAGCUUUGAUGUUAUCUUUGGUGAGUCUGAGGGGACCAGUUUUAUCAUUUGACAAAGCAAUUAAGAUGUCAGUAAUGUCUUCAUGGUCCAGCCUGGGCCUUGAAGGUUGGAGAUGUUCCUGAAUAACAGCCUCAUAGAAUUUAUCAAACUCAUGAAAGCAAUUUUCCAGCUUCUGGCGAAACCCUGUUAAUAUAUCAAUCAUCCAUCCAUAGUAUGGAAAGAAAUCUGCAGCGCAGAAGCCACUAAUUACCAGCAAGGCAUCCUGUAAAGUCUUGUGAAUUUCUUGUUCCUUGAGCUUCUCAUGUUCAAAAUCGGUUCCAAAUGCAAUCCCACAAAUGAUGUUUUUUGCAAGAGAGUAUAUUUUGUGAUCAAGCUGGAUGGAUUUAUUGUCAGGGUCUGAAGCUUCUUCUGAGAGAAUGUUCACAAACUUGGCAAUCUCCCGGUCUCUGACAUGCUGAAAUGAACGAACCCUCUUGACAGUAAAAAGUUCUAUGACACAAAUCUUACGCAUCUCGCGCCAGUACUCACCAUAAGGACUGAAAGAUAUGUCCUUUCGGUUGUAUGAUAACCUCCUCAUACCAUACGAAUCAGGCCUAUUGCAGCAACUCGCAUCCUGAUCUUUGAGCACCUCUUUUGCCAUCUCGGGGGAUGAAAUGACCAAAGUAGGGACUCGACCAAGUUUUAGGUGCAUGACGGGGCCAUAUUUUUGGGACAGUUUAUACAGAGAAAAAUGAGGCAGAUUACCAAGUUGGUGAAGGUUGCCUAUAAUGGGAAGCCUUGGAGGACCUGGGGGUAGAUUUUCCAAAUUUCGUUUCCCUACAUUUCUGUUUAAGAAGAUAAGUAGAAUGGCAAUGCCAGUAAGAAGCCAUGGCAAUGAAAGGAAGUUGAGAGAUUCCGAAAAGAUUUCCAUUAAGCUAGGUGAUAGGGUAGAAAUGAGCAGGAAACCAAAUUUCGAAUUUGGUUAUGAGAAGAUAGAAGACAGUGUUAAACAUGGUACCAUACAAUAUUAAAAUAUUCUAUCUUUAUCCUUAAACUGUGAUAUGGACCUGUGCGGUGCUGGUUGAAUUAAUGCAAAGCAAUAAUGUAAAAACAGUUAAAAGUAUCCGCAUGACUAUACAUAUCAUCCAAGUAUAUAUAGAGGGCAAUCACAUUACAGUGAAUAAAUAGUUUACUCGGUGUGAAUUUAUAUUCUUAUUGACUAUAUCAAUUGCUACUGCAAUUUAGAUAAUUAUGUAUCUGUACCUCCAGUGAGCCCUUGACCUCGUGCUCUAAUUACGAAGGAAGGCAUUUCCUAGCUAGUUUAUAGUCAGGGGAUUACUUGGUCUGAAUCUGAAAUUCAUGUUUAAUAGGCACCAGAUGAAGAGGAAACUUCUUGUUUACAGUCAGGCCAAACUCUUCUUCCAUGUUCAUGUCAUCAGGUGUCAUCCCGCUGGGCAACUGCCAGUCAAAGCAAUGCAGCAGAUUUGCAAGUAUUGAUUCCACCGAUGCCAAGCCCAUUGUCAUUGCAGGACACAUUCUUCGACCAGCACCAAAUGGAAUCAACUCGUAAUGCUGACCCUUAAAAUCAAUUUCACAGUCCUCAAACCUCUCUGGAUAAAAUUCGUACGGCUUUGACCAUGUAUCACUGUCUCUGCCAAUAGCCCAUGCAUUAAUAAAGAUCCUGGUUUUGGGGUACACAUUGUAUCCCCCAAUCUUACAAUGCUGCAUUGAUUCUCGAGGUAAGAGUAGGGGCACCGGAGGGUGCAACCUGAGGGUCUCCUUUAUCACCAUUUUGAAGUACUUGAGUUUCUCUAUUUCGCUCUCAUCUACUACUGCUUUAUUUCCUACAGCAUUUCUGAUUUCAGCUUGUACUUUUCUCAUUACACGCGGAUUCUUCGCAAGCUCGCUCAUAGCCCAUACAGUUGUCCCAGAACUUGUAUCAAUCGAAGCCAGAAACAGAUCCUGUAAACAGAACAAUCCACUCAUCAAUUUUAUUUAGGUUAAUGAUAAACAGCUAACACCAGAUGCAUUAUUUCAUUGAAGACCAUAUAUGUGUAUGAUUUUAUUGAUGUCACUCUUGUGGGCUGGAAGUGUUUGCAAUGGAACUUACUCUACACAUGUAUAUAUACUGAAAAAGAAAGAACAGAGUUACCAUGAAGACAGCUUUGAUGUGAUCUUUCGUGAGAUCAAAAGGGGCAUUUUCAUCAUUGGACAAAGCAAUUAAGACAUCAGUUAAGUUUUCAUGAUCCAACCUGGACCUAGAAGGUCCAAUAUGUUCUUGGAUAACACUUUCAGAAAAUUUAUCGAGCUUAUCAAAGCUCUUUUUCAUCUUCCUGUGGAAUCCGGUUAAUAGAUCAAUUAUCCAGCCAUAAUAUGGAAAGAAAUCAGCUGCACAAAAACCACUAAUCACGAUCAUGGCCUCAUGUAAAGUCUUCUUAAUUUCGUUCUCCUUGAACUUCUCACCUCCAACAUUAGUGCCAAAAGCAACCUCACAUAUAAUGUUCUUUGCAAAUGUCAAUAUUUUCUCAUCAAGGUGUAUGAAUUUAUUGUUAGGAUCCGAAGCUUCUAUUGAGAUAUCAUUCACCAAUUUAGCAAUCUCUCGGUCUCUAACAUGUUGAAAUGAACGAACCCUCUUGACAGUAAAAAGUUCUAUGACACAGAGCUUACGCAUUUCACGCCAGUAAUCACCAUAAGGAGAAAAAGAGAUGUCCUUCUGAUUGUACGAUAGUUUUCUCAUACCAUAAGAAUCAGGCCUGCUGCAGCACUUUGUAUCAUGAACUUUAAGCACCUCUUUGGCCAUCUGAGGCGACGAGACGACCAGAGCAGGGACUUGACCUAGUCUUAGGUGCAUGACAGGCCCGUAUUGUUGGGACAGUCUGUAGAGAGAAAUAUGAGGCAGUCCUCCAAGUUGGUGAAGGUUGCCUAAUAUGGGGUGCCUCGGGGGACCUGGGGGAAGAUUUUCUAGAAUUUGUUUCGAAAAAUAUCCGUGACAUAAUAGAAGGAGAAAUAGGAGGAGGAGAAAAGCCGUGAUGGUUAGAAGCCAGAAGAACGAGACAGAG